This 497-nucleotide ribosomal RNA is filed under the name uncultured bacterium. RNAcentral's name for it is "partial 16S ribosomal RNA". It matches the Rfam family "Bacterial small subunit ribosomal RNA", at positions 28 to 507 of the family's 1533-position model. The record is from RNAcentral.
GAUGAACGCUGGCGGCGUGCCUAAUACAUGCAAGUCGAGCGAACAGACGAGGAGCUUGCUCCUCUGACGUUAGCGGCGGACGGGUGAGUAACACGUGGAUAACCUACCUAUAAGACUGGGAUAACUUCGGGAAACCGGAGCUAAUACCGGAUAAUAUAUUGAACCGCAUGGUUCAAUAGUGAAAGACGGUUUUGCUGUACCUUAUAGUUGGAUCCGCGCCGCAUUAGCUAGUUGGUAAGGUAACGGCUUACCAAGGCAACGAUGCGUAGCCGACCUGAGAGGGUGAUCGGCCACACUGGAACUGAGACACGGUCCAGACUCCUACGGGAGGCAGCAGUAGGGAAUCUUCCGCAAUGGGCGAAAGCCUGACGGAGCAACGCCGCGUGAGUGAUGAAGGUCUUCGGAUCGUAAAACUCUGUUAUUAGGGAAGAACAAAUGUGUAAGUAACUAUGCACGUCUUGACGGUACCUAAUCAGAAAGCCACGGCUAACUACGUG